Molecule: long non-coding RNA, 132 nt
Organism: Mastomys coucha (southern multimammate mouse)
Lineage: Eukaryota; Metazoa; Chordata; Mammalia; Rodentia; Muridae
Exons: 2
Source: RefSeq, a predicted model, not a curated record
CCGACUCUGAGGGAGACGCCAUCUUCGCCAUCUUCGCCAUUUGCCUGCUCUGAAGUUCAGACACUUCUGAAAUUUUUAAAUUUUUUUUUUUUCGGAGGGGAAACUAGGAAAGGAGAUACCAUGAGAUGCAAA